This 6899-nucleotide unclassified non-coding RNA is filed under the name Actinia tenebrosa (Australian red waratah sea anemone). RNAcentral's name for it is "uncharacterized LOC116292984, transcript variant X1". Lineage: Eukaryota; Metazoa; Cnidaria; Anthozoa; Actiniaria; Actiniidae. The record is from RNAcentral.
AACUAGUGGAAAAUUUUUCUAAUCCGAACGAUGUUUAAAGAUUUUGAUACUAUUUUAUUGUGGAAUAUUUUUAUAAUAGCUGGAUAUAUCAUGUACAAAGCUUGUUUUUUUAGAAGCGAAUGAUUUUUUUAUUUUAAGUUUGCUCGUUCGUGAUAAAAUACGAGCAUGGCAUCUCGGCCGAGGAGAAAAUUCGUCCCCAAGCCGAAGAAAAAUGCUAAAAAACCUGGUUUUGAUUUUGAAAUCAAAGUUGUUGGAGGACUAUCGAAUGAAAGAAUGGGCGAUUCCUCGAUGGCCAGAAACUCUAGUAUACCUCGACGUCUGCAAGACUUUGAGACAAAACUGAGAAAUAUCUUCACGAUGGGAAGAACAAGUGAUAGUGAAUCUCGGACUGGUCAAGACCAUGAUAAAGAGUAUAUCAAAUACAAGCUGAACUUCCGAGAUGGUUCAAAGCCUUCUGCCUUCGAAAAGAUCCGACAAGAAUGGUGUACUAGAAUUUGCAGUCCAGGAUAUCCCUACUGGAUGGAAUCAUGCGAGAAUAUGCGAGACACCUUUCGAUACAAAGCGGAAACGUCGAGACAUGGUUUGCAGCCCAUAUCUUGCAGUUUUGGGAGCUUCUUCAAUCGAGGGACUUUCGUAGAACAUUAUACUACCGUUGAUGACGUUCAUUUAAUCGAGGAUGGGGUUGUUUACAGUGAAUUCGUACACGAUACCAAGGAAUUGACCCUCGCAUUCCGUCGGAAAAACAAUGAUUUUGCCGGCUUCCUUUUGUUACCUAUGGCUGGAGUUGAGAUGCGAAUCGAAUUCGAGUACAAACAGUUUGAAGAUUAUAUUCUGGUGGAUGAAAAUAACGAUCGGAUUGAUCUGUAUUUGCCACUUAUUCGACCACCGAAAGUAACUAAAAUAGAGGAAGUACUUGACAAAACCAACGAGAUUCGAUGUGUCAGUUUCCUAAAUUGCACCCAAGAGGUUCUGGGAAAGAGCUCUGUUCUGAGACUUCGCUUUGAAUCUUCAAAGAAAAACGAUCGAACAAUGGAACUGAUUAAACGAUUAGGAACCCUAAGUCGCACAGUGUACUUCGUUGCCAUGAAGACCAAAAAACCAUGUGGUCGAAGUGAGGUUCCAGUUAAACCCAAAUUCGACAGCUUCGAAGUGGCUUAUGCACUGGAAUGUUUGCUAUCUCGGGGAUUUAAAGUUACUGAUCGACUAAGUCGAAAGUUCUAUGAUCUACUAAGAAGUGCUGUAGCACCAGAUGAUGCCGUUUCUCGUCGAAGCCGAACACUGCAACCUUCGCAGAUUUGUCGUGCCUUGUACCAGCUGAUCGCCUUUGUAGACAGUAACAGGUUCUGUCCCAUGGAGACCGUCUUGGAGCAGUUUCUGUUUGGCAAAUUCAAAAGAAAAACAGCAUUAGAUUUUGAGUUACCCAAACACUACGUGUAUGUUCCUCGAAUUAUCGUCACCCCGACCCAGGACUUUUUGGUUCAGCCGGAGCUCGUCGCUGAAAACCGCGUCAUAAGGCAGUAUGGCCACAAGUACGCCAUGCGCAUUGCAUUCCGGGAAGAAGAUUUCUCCAAACUUUCUUCCUUUGCAGAAAGUCUUAAAGAUGUUCUGGAAACACGUGUAGUGAAUCUUCUAAAGAAAGGAAUUCACCUAUGUGGUCGCCAUUUUGAAUUUCUUGCAUGCUCGAACAGCCAGCUGCGAGAUCACGGAGCGUGGCUUUAUGCUUUUGAUGGCAAGUAUGGAGCAGGAGACAUCAGACAAUCUCUUGGGGAGCUGGAAACAAUUACAUGCGUAGCAACAUAUGUGUCCCGGAUGGGACAGUGUUUCUCAUCGACUAAAGAGUCUGUUAAAGUGAGCAUAGAUGAAGGAGUUGAAACCAAACAAAUCAAGGAAAUAGAGAUACAAUACAGUGACGAGUUCUUCGAAUGCUGCGGCAAAUUUAGGAGUGGAACAUACGUUUUCUCUGAUGGAGUCGGGAAAAUUAGCCUAGCCCUAGCCAAAAAUGUAGCAGAUAGCUUGGGCUUACGUAAGGUACCGUCAGCUUAUCAGAUUCGAUACGCUGGAUGUAAAGGGAUGUUGGCUUUGGAUUUAAACCUGCCACAAGGAAAGAAAAUUUUGCAAUAUCGAAAUAGCAUGAGUAAAUUUGAAUGUAACCACAAGGAUCUGGAAAUCUGUGAAUUCAGCAGGCCAAAUCUGUUGUACCUCAAUCGACAAUGCAUUAUUCUCUUGUCUGGUUUGGGCGUUCCGGAUGAGGCGUUCAUCAAGUUACAAGACACCAUGUUAAUGCGACUUGCUUCCAUGCUCCUCUUCGAGAAAGUAGCUUUAGAGAUGCUUAGUCAUGCAAGCGUUGCUGGGGGUCUGAAAGUUUCCACUCUGCGUAAAAGUGGCAUCAUGGUCACGUGUGAGCCAUUCUUCAGGUCUCUCCUCUUAGCGAUGUACAAGAGUAAGCUUGGUGACCUUUUGAGAAGGGCCCGUAUUGCUGUCCCAAAGUCCCACGGGCGCUUGUUGGUGGGUGUGUUAGACGAGACCCAAACACUGGAAUAUGGUCAGGUGUUUGUUCGUUACACUAAAGACAUCAGUGAGCCAGAUAAGGAGUUCGUUACACUUACAGGAGAAGUGGUCGUCACCAAGAACCCUUGUUUCCAUCCAGGAGACAUGCGUAAACUCCAAGCAGUAGAUAUUGAAGCUCUCCAUCAUCUGGUGGACUGCAUCGUAUUUCCCGCUAAGGGACCACGACCGCAUACCAACGAGAUCUCGGGCUCGGACUUGGAUGGUGAUAAGUACUUUGUCACGUGGUAUCGACCACUAAUACCUCCAAACGGCAACGAGAAACCAAUGGAUUUUCCAUCUCCAAAGAAAAAAUAUCUUGAUCGAAGAGUAGAUGUGGGUGAUAUGAUACAGUUUGUGGCUGAAUAUAUCAAGAAUGAUCAGCUGGGGCCUAUUGCUAAUUCACAUCUUGUUCACGCUGAUUCCGAGGACAAAGGUGUUAAGUCAGAAAAGUGCAUCAAGCUUGCACACAUGCAUUCUGAUGCUGUUGACUUCCCAAAGACUGGAGAGUGUCCAACUCUCACUCAAGACCUCAGACCUGAACAGUAUCCUGACUUCAUGAUGAAGACUGACAAACCCCGUUACAAGUCGAAAGGAAUUCUUGGAAAGCUGUUUCAAAAGUGUAACCAACUAGAAAGGGCGCGAUAUUUUAUUAGUGAAGAAGGUCCAAAAGACUUGCAAGUGGACCAAGAUUUGAUCCUUGAGGGAUACCAAGACUACGUUGAUUCUGCUAUUGAAAUGAGAGAUCGCUACAAUACAAAGCUUGGUUCUUUAAUGGCUUUGUAUGGACUUAAGAAUGAAGGGGAGGUUUUGACAGGAUGCCUAACUAAAGUCCAUUCCAGGGUUUCGGGUAAAACAGAUGAGAAGUUCGAAGUUGCUCAGUUAAUUCAGGCAAGUAUUGCCUCACUUCGCAACCACCUCAAGAACGAUUUCUACAGAGAAUUUGGCGGAGAAGAGGAAGUUAAGGAAUUCUUUGAAAAAGAGAAAGAGUACCCGCAAGAAGUUCUGUUCAAAGCAUCAGCCUGGUAUGUUGUAACAUAUAAUAAGAUNAAGUCGUCCAACCAAGAGGGCAACACCCCUGAAGAAGAUAACGAUGAAGAAGGAGGUGAAGCAAAAGAUGGCAAUGUUGGUGAUGAGUGGGCCAUUAGUGAUGCCCCAUUGAUAAGUUUUCCUUGGAUAGUAUCCCCAAUACUCGCCCACAUCAAGGCUUCGGCCAAUAAAGAUGCAGUAGGCGGCAAAACCCAAGAGAUGAAAGAUAUCAGUAGACUGAUUACUAUUCAAGCGGACAAUCUGUUCUUUGAUGAAAGCGUUCGCAAUGACAUGAUAGACGACUUCGAGAUGAGGCAAAAUGAACGAGAUAAGCUUUUCGGUUACAUUUCUGCUCGAAGUAAUCAGAGAUUGUUGUCCAUGACGCUGCUUGGCGCCUCCAUGACAGGGCUGAACAUUCGAGAUAAGAACCCACAGCCAUUGCAGCUCUACGUCCAAUCAAUACACAUUGAUAUUUUUGAAUUUGAACGUAUUCUCAAGCGGGUACGCAUUGUCGGCCACACUUCAGUAUUCCUCGACUGUUCACGUGCAACUAUUGAUUUUAAGGUGGGAGAUCUGAAAUGCUCUAUCACCACAAACCACAACGAGCUGCUGAAGUCAGUGUAUAUCUAUCGGCAUAUCCAACGCUGCCCUCGAUUGCUACACUUACUGCUGGUCAUCAUGCACUGGGGGCGCAAGCGUCACAUGACCGGAAGUUUAAUAGACAGGUUUAUGUCAGUAGAGGAUCUUGCUGUGCUUUUUAUUCGGUUUUGUGAAGAGCAUAAUUUCAUCGAAAAGAUCAAAGUAGAUGAACUCGAAGAACAUGACACAGGGUUUCUUAACCAUGGGAACAAAGCUAAAGAGACGAAAUGGAGGACAGACAUACUUGAAGCAGAAGCACAGACGAACAAAGGGUUCCUUAAUGGAACUGAACCAGGAAUGACUUUGAUCAAGUUCUUUGAGUUCUAUGGUAGUGAUUCCGAGAAAGAACCCCUGCACAUCUCAAAUAUCAGGAACCCCGUUCAGCCUAAAAGUCUCUUGUUCCAUCGUCUAAGUCAAGAAGAUGUUCAGCGCUUUACGGACGCCGCACUUCAUUCUUUUCACGAGAUUGCGCAGUGUAGAGGAUUGGACAGGAUCCUAAAGACAGCAGAACACGAGAACUCGAAGGAGAUGCAAGAGACAUUAUCGAUGCCUAACUGUACUUGGGGCGCCCUGAGGUUUGCUGAAGACUUUGUUGCCCAUGGCCUGUCUGAUUUGACUGGAGCUAAAGUCAACAUUCGACCAGCAACCCGAAGAGGCGGAUACAUUAUGGAGGUAAGGGGAAACUACUUGACUCUCUACAAGUGCCAGGCAGAAAGACUGAAACUUGAAAACAAGUCCACUAAAGUCUACGUCUACGACCACACUAUAACUGGCGGUUGCUAUUUAUUUUUCAUUGGUCAAACAUCGGCUGCAGAUCGGGUAACAGCGAAAGCACUAAAGAAAGACUUCGCUGUAAAUUUGGAUUCUGCUAACCCUUCGAGUAGCGAAGACGAGAGGAAGCUCGUGAGGGCGGUGACGAAGCAACUUGACGAGUUCAACGACAACUACGUUAGCUAUCUUCAUGGAUCUAAGACUUUGAGGAUAUCAGUUGAAUAUGGAUCUAUCUACAUUACAAAUGCUCAUGCAUGGGUAUUGGGAAGCACUGUUGGAGACGUGGAGAAGGUUCUUCGUGCGUCCGCUGACCCAAAAAAUCGUGGACAUCACGGAAGAAGGAAUACUCCAACUACACCACCUGAUCAUAAAUUUAACCGACUUCAAUCUAAUUUGAACUCUUUGGCGGAUAUAGAAGUAAGAUUAUCAGAGCUGGGAGAGGUACUGCUCGUUGAAGACACUAAAUUCUACAUGGUAGAAAUAAAGAUAGCCAAGAACCACGAUCUGAAAAUCGUUUAUGACGAAAAUUUGAAGUUUGAGAGAUACGAGUUCGAACCAUUCAAAUGGCUCGUUGCGGAUCUCAAAACUCCUCGACCAAUCCGAUCCAGAACACGAGACAUUGAUUUACGUGUUCUUGUGACGUCACCGCGGGAACUAGACAAACAGGAGUCCCAAGAGCUACCAAUAUACGAGACUUUUGGUAAAACGGAAAUAAUAACGUUGAUAGGAGGCCAGCCGGUCGUGUCACAGGAAUAUCGCAGAAGUGUGACCUUUGUUCACGAAGUAACCAAGAAAGUAUAUACGAUAAACAGAAAUGAAAGUCUCAUAUUUGUGGAAGUGAGCAACAUCAAGAAGAAGAACCACAAUAACAGGAAUAACAGGAACAGUAGUCCGAAUGAUUAUUGGACGCUGAAGCUGUAUGGAGAAUUCCAAAGCACUGACGUCGACAAGGCAGAAAAACUGACUAAAGUCAUCUUGUCCUUGGGCAAAGACAUCAAACCUCGUAACUAAAGCAGAAGGCUGGCGGUUCUAGUUGUUCAAUAUAAGGAAUCCAUUUAUGAAAAAAAAUUAUCUGGAAUAAACUCGUGCAUAGUGUUCCCAAAGAAAAUGCUAUAAAUGCACAGUGAAUAAGCGGUUUUUCUAGUGACCUACAUGUAUCAGUUUUGACAGAACUAGAAGGCCAAGAGAUGGAAACUCAUGGCAAUGGAAUUUUGAUCUGCAAAUUAGUAGGCUGGUUUACAGACCCAGUAUAUGGAAGAGCGUCGCCGUUCUGUAAUGGCUCCUGAUCUGGGAAUAGGAUGGCUAACGACCCAGUACUGUACAGCACUUCAAAUGAAUUUUAUGUUGGUCGAUUCUAUGUGAAGUCACUGAAAUCCCUCCUGAAAGCCAUCUUAAAAGUGAAUAGAGAAUACAGUACAGACAUUCAUUGAUGAACGCCAAUGAAAUCGUUCCUGAACACCAUUUUAGAAUGGAAUACAGUAAACUCGUAUAAAAAUCAGUUUAAGAUUGCCUUAUCAGACUCUCUAGCUACAAGACACCAACGAUUGAAUAACGACCAUUUGGCCAUCAACUCCAUAUCCAUAUUUGAAAAGCUUACCUUAUUUGGGAGUGAGCCAGAAUCCUUUUUGGUGGUUUUUCCUUCAGUUAAAGCUUUGAAAUGUCGAAAAUAUGAAUCAAAACUUGCAGAUAUCAAACUAAUAAAUAGCGAAUUGUCCACCAUCUUGAAUUUACUUAGAAACCUGGCAUUAUUUGACAAAGGAAGCCCAAAAGUUCAAAACUACAGGGAUCCCGCGCCGACGACACAUUGAACAGUGACGACGAUAUGUUGAAUAUUAGAAUCUCUAGAAUUUGGGUUUUGUGUCCGCUGCAAGUUUGAUGAAAUAAGCCAUUAUAUAAAAUGUUCCAAGUGAAAGGAA